CUACGGGGCGCACCAGUGGGGAAUAUUGCACAAUGGAGGAAACUCUGAUGCAGCAACGCCGCGUGGAGGAUGACGCAUUUCGGUGUGUAAACUCCUUUUAUAUGGGAAGAUAAUGACGGUACCAUAUGAAUAAGCACCGGCUAACUCCGUGCCAGCAGCCGCGGUAAUACGGAGGGUGCAAGCGUUACUCGGAAUCACUGGGCGUAAAGCGCGCGCAGGCGGGUUUGUAAGUUGGAUGUGAAAUCCUAUGGCUUAACCAUAGAACUGCAUCCAAAACUACUUACCUAGAGUCUGGGAGGGGAAGAUGGAAUUAGUGGUGUAGGGGUAAAAUCCGUAGAGAUCACUAGGAAUACCAAAAGCGAAGGCGAUCUUCUGGAACAGUACUGACGCUGAGGCGCGAAAGCGUGGGGAGUAAACAGGAUUAGAUACCCCCGUAGUC
This 439-nucleotide ribosomal RNA is filed under the name uncultured bacterium. RNAcentral describes it as "partial 16S ribosomal RNA". It matches the Rfam family "Bacterial small subunit ribosomal RNA", at positions 339 to 795 of the family's 1533-position model. The record is from RNAcentral.